UCUAAUGGUAUUUAGUCUUUUGAUGUUUAAAAUUUGAUGUUUAAAAUAAUUGUUGCACACUCGAUGGUAUGUAAAGUACAAACAAUGAUUUUUAUUCAAUGGGGGAUUCUAUGAUCCGAGGAACAAUUCUAUAAGGGAAUCAAGGUAAUUAUGUUAUGUAAAUAGUGGGGCAUGAUGAUUAAGUGUAUUGAUGAAUGACAUCAGACCUGGAGAGGUAAUUAUCCAAUUAUUGAAUUGAUGUUAUACCAAUGAAGUAGAUAAGUAAGAAUGGAUCUAGUCCUGUUACUGAAUGAAUAUUAAGAAAAGAAUCAAAUACAUAAAGGUGAGGAAUAUGAAUUAAUGUGAUUUAAAUGAGGAUAGCUAGUAAUUAGAGGUUUGACAAAUUAAGGAUAAUUGUUAGAAAAUUUGAUGCAAAUAGGAAUAAUGAUACAUCAGAGGAUCUAAGAUAAAGAUUUUUAUAUUUUGGGAUUUC
This 472-nucleotide long non-coding RNA is filed under the name Jatropha curcas. RNAcentral describes it as "long non-coding RNA (JCUR_LNC002660)". Lineage: Eukaryota; Viridiplantae; Streptophyta; Magnoliopsida; Malpighiales; Euphorbiaceae. The record is from RNAcentral.